GUAAUGAUAGCUUAGCUCAAAGCAUCGGCCUUGUAAGUCGAAAAUUGAAGGUUCAAAUCCCUCUCAUUACU
Non-coding RNA from Monopterus albus (swamp eel), 71 nucleotides. The record is from Ensembl. NCBI's taxonomy places the organism in Eukaryota, Metazoa, Chordata, Actinopteri, Synbranchiformes, Synbranchidae.